Molecule: long non-coding RNA, 536 nt
Filed under: Rattus norvegicus (Norway rat)
Lineage: Eukaryota; Metazoa; Chordata; Mammalia; Rodentia; Muridae
Description: long non-coding RNA NONRATT008796
Source: RNAcentral
GUCUUUACCCUAGUAUUGUAUGGUUUUAGAUAUAUCAAGUUGUGCAGGGAGAUGUGGGGAAGGGUAUUCUAGAGACGCCACCUGCAACUGUGAUUAUAACUGCCAACACUACAUGGAGUGCUGUCCUGAUUUCAAGAGAGUCUGCACUACAGAGCUCUCCUGCAAAGGACGCUGCUUCGAGUCCUUCGCACGAGGGAGGGAGUGUGACUGUGACUCCCAGUGUAAACAGUAUGGCAAAUGCUGUGCAGACUACAACAGCUUCUGCGAAGAAGUGCAUAAUCCCACAUCACCACCUCCAAAGACUGCACCCCCGCCUCCAGGAGCGUCUCGCACCAUCAAAUCAACCACCAAACGUUCACCCAAAUCACCAAAAAAGAAGACUAAGAAAGUUGUAGAGUCUGAGGAAAUAACAGAAGAACAUUCUGUUUCUGAAAAUCAAGAGUCCUCCUCCUCCUCCUCUUCCUCCUCUUCAACUAUUCGGAAAAUCAAGUCUUCCAAAAAUUCAGCUAAUAGAGAAUUACAGAAGAACCCAAAAG